RNAcentral lists this ribosomal RNA (303 nucleotides) under uncultured bacterium. RNAcentral describes it as "partial 16S ribosomal RNA". It matches the Rfam family "Bacterial small subunit ribosomal RNA", at positions 507 to 807 of the family's 1533-position model. The record is from RNAcentral.
AGCAGUAGCCACGGGAAUACGUAGGUGGCAAGCGUUGUCCGGAAUUAUUGGGCGUAAAGGGCUCGCAGGCGGUUUCUUAAGUCUGAUGUGAAAGCCCCCGGCUCAACCGGGGAGGGUCAUUGGAAACUGGGAAACUUGAGUGCAGAAGAGGAGAGUGGAAUUCCACGUGUAGCGGUGAAAUGCGUAGAGAUGUGGAGGAACACCAGUGGCGAAGGCGACUCUCUGGUCUGUAACUGACGCUGAGGAGCGAAAGCGUGGGGAGCGAACAGGAUUAGAUACCCCGGUAGUCCCUGUCUCUUAUAC